RNAcentral lists this transfer RNA (70 nucleotides) under Lissoclinum patella. RNAcentral describes it as "tRNA-Met". Lineage: Eukaryota; Metazoa; Chordata; Ascidiacea; Aplousobranchia; Didemnidae. The record is from RNAcentral.
AUAUAUAAUAAACUAAUUUAAAAGUUUUUGGACUCAUUUUUCAAAUAUAUUGUUUAUCAAUUUAUAUAUU